RNAcentral lists this ribosomal RNA (116 nucleotides) under Escherichia coli. The record is from RNAcentral. Lineage: Bacteria; Pseudomonadati; Pseudomonadota; Gammaproteobacteria; Enterobacterales; Enterobacteriaceae.
CCUGGCGGCCUUAGCGCGGUGGUCCUACCUGACCCCAUGCCGAACUCAGAAGUGAAACGCCGUAGCGCCGAUGGUAGUGUGGGGUCUCCCCAUGCGAGAGUAGGGAACUGCCAGGC